Odobenus rosmarus divergens (Pacific walrus) is the source of this 778-nucleotide RNA transcript. RefSeq lists it as uncharacterized. The transcript has 2 exons. Lineage: Eukaryota; Metazoa; Chordata; Mammalia; Carnivora; Odobenidae. The record is from RefSeq and is a predicted model, not a curated record.
ACCAGCGGCACCAGCGGCGGCGGCGGCAGCAGCAGCAGCGGCAGCAGCAACAGCAAUAAUCACCUGGUGUCCGGCCUUUCCUAGAAACUUCUUGCAUCACCACUUCUAAGAACCCCAGUUCUAAGAAUCAACAGAGCUCAAUUCUCGGAAUUUGAGCUGCGGACUUUACCACUGCUACGUGGCAGGGGAGGACUCGGUGUCAGCUCUCCGGGACUUUUGCCUCUUUGGGCCCAUGGAAAGCCCUCAAAGCCACAGUGUUUUUCCAGUUCUCGGCAGAUUUCGAGGUCCUCAGCGGCUGGGCGUCUCAGAUUUGGAGGUUCCGGUUCGAGGCUCGAGGGGCCAGACGGCGUCCCUCCCUCCCGGGGCCCCGCACGAUGUUUAUCAUGGAAAGAGGACAUAGAGUGAGCAUCCCUGCAAAAGAGCCAUUUGCUGUGGCCUUACAUUCAGAGAAGUCCUCAGAGUUGGACUUUUGACAUGCUCUCCACUGAGGUUCUGCUGCAGUCUUAGUGGCGCACUGACAGGAUCGAAAGAAGACCUUCACACACAAGUUUUGUGUGCAGGUCCCGCCGCAAGACCCAGUGUAGGAGCCCUCCCAGUCCCCCAUGGUGCCGUGAUUUCAUACUGUUACUAAAUCUAGAAUUGUCAUGAAUCGUGUGAUUGUAUUGUAAUUGUGUGUAUGUUGGUGUUUAAAAUGUAAAUUUUUAAAUAUAUAUGGCCUAGAAGCAACAAUGCCACAGUAGCAAUGAGCACACCUCAUGCCCAGAUUGUACCAUAAAAU